Brassica napus (rape) is the source of this 914-nucleotide long non-coding RNA. RefSeq lists it as uncharacterized. The record is from RefSeq and is a predicted model, not a curated record. NCBI's taxonomy places the organism in Eukaryota, Viridiplantae, Streptophyta, Magnoliopsida, Brassicales, Brassicaceae. The transcript has 3 exons.
GUGGUGUUGUGCACCCAUACCAGACCCGAUUUCGAAACCACCUUUUGAUUUUUUCCAUUUUGUAAUCAAUAGUGCAUCCACUUAAUUAAUAACCUGGAUUCGCCCGUGUGUAACGUCUUUGGCCUUAAAUCGGUCGAUAUAAUAAUUCAAUAGUGCAUCCACUUAAUUAAUAACCUGGAUUCGCUCGUGUGUAACGUCUUUGGCCUUAAAUCGGUCGAUAUAAUAAUGGAAAAAAAAGGUGUUUUCACCUCUUUGCCGGGAACCCAAUCAAUGUAAAUAGUCCCUCCCAGCGCAAAUCGAACUCGGGUGGCGGAAGUUACAACCGCAACCCCUUUACCACCUGACUUGUUCUGGUGAUAUAAUAAUGGAUGCAGUUAACGCCACUCCUUCCACUCUGUCGCAAUCAAUACCGAUCAGACUCAUCCAUGGUAACCGAUGAAGUCUACACCUAUAAAUAAUCAUGUCAUCUCUGCUUCAACUCAUCGCUCCCUCCACCUUAAAUAACGCUGUUGAAAUCCGGUCAUUGUGAAGAAAGGAGGUGAUGUACACACUGCCCCUGGAUUAAAAGGUCUCAGAACCAGAAGCAGGAGGGUGUCACAAUUUGUUUCACAAAGAGAGUAGAGAGAGUACUAAUCAGAUUACGAAGCUGCAAUGUCUAUCAAAAGUAUCAUCCUCAAUGAUGAGAUUCUGUAGUCUUACAUGGCAACUCUUCCAAAGGAUGUUGGAAAGAUGUGUUGGAGAGCUAUUCAAGAGUACCCAAAGGUUUAGCUUUUAACAUAGUUAAUAAGUUGUUAUAGGUUCACUGACUUAAAGUUUUAUGUUUAUUAUUUUCCUUCUCUUCCCAUAUAUCUCCUUAAAGUUAAUUUCAGAAGCAAAUCAAUAAAAAAUUUGAGAUAAUGAAUUCACUUUCUUUU